Cinara cedri is the source of this 227-nucleotide non-coding RNA. The record is from the annotation of a GenBank genome assembly. Lineage: Eukaryota; Metazoa; Arthropoda; Insecta; Hemiptera; Aphididae.
GUUUCAUUUUACGCCAUAUAAAUAACGUUUGAAUAUAAAAUAUAAGUACGCAAUUAAACAAGAGUACCUACUGCGGAAGUUAAUGCACCGCCGUCGUAGUUAUCCGUGUCUCGUUUACUGAUGACGGCGAAUUAAUUGACAAGAAAUGUUAAUAGACUGCUUUCACAGUGUACGCACUCGUAAGUGUGCGUUUUCACGGGUACAACAAGGAAAACUUAACUCGAUCU